This 227-nucleotide long non-coding RNA is filed under the name Mytilus galloprovincialis (Mediterranean mussel). Lineage: Eukaryota; Metazoa; Mollusca; Bivalvia; Mytilida; Mytilidae. The record is from RNAcentral.
GAGGGAUCAUAGAUACCUUAUAUAGCAACAAUAAUCAACAACACAAGAUCUGCAUUUUAAUUCAAACACAGUCGAAAUUUGUAAUCGUCUUCUUAUGAGCGAUAUUGACCUUGAAUGACGAUUUUUACAUAUUUGUUUGGCCUUUUCGCAAUAAUUUUGUAAAGUAUAAUGAAUAGAAAGAAUGUUAAACAGCCAGAAACGGACACACUACUUCUUGUUAUUACCCC